GACGAACGCUGGCGGCGUGCUUAACACAUGCAAGUCGAACGGUCCUGUUUUUGAAGCGCUUCGGCGUGGAGGGGACGGGGCAGUGGCGCACGGGUGAGUAAUGCGCGAGGACCUGCCCGCAGGAGGGGGACAGCAGUUGGAAACGGCUGGUGAUACCCCGUAGGCCGGGAGGUGAAAGGGCGGAGACGCCCGCCUGCGGAUGGACUCGCGUCCUAUCAGCUAGUUGGUGAGGCAACGGCUCACCAAGGCGACGACGGGUAGCCGGCCUGAGAGGGUGUCCGGCCACACUGGAACUGAGACACGGUCCAGACUCCUACGGGAGGCAGCAGGUGGGGUAAUUUUGGGCAAUGGGGGAGACCCUGACCCAGCGACGCCGCGUGAGGGACGAAGGCCCUUGGGUCGUAAACCUCUUUUGCAGGGGAAGAAGAAGAUGACGGUACCUUGCGAACAAGUCCCGGCUAACUACGUG
RNAcentral lists this ribosomal RNA (469 nucleotides) under uncultured bacterium. Its description in RNAcentral is "bacterial SSU rRNA". It matches the Rfam family "Bacterial small subunit ribosomal RNA", at positions 28 to 507 of the family's 1533-position model. The record is from RNAcentral.